CGCGCGGGGACGCAUCUGGGCCGUCUGAUCGCGCGCACGCGGAUCGCCCACGUGGUUCGUUCCCGGGUCGACGUGGUCUUGCCACGCGGCAGGUCCUGGUUGGCCAGGGCUGCUGACUGGGCCGCUGACGUGGCUGCUGAUGUGGCGCUGACGGGGCGCAAUUUUUUUAAAUUACGUUUUGACCCCCGGUUUUCGAUUUUCUUUU
Molecule: long non-coding RNA, 205 nt
Filed under: Carica papaya (papaya)
Lineage: Eukaryota; Viridiplantae; Streptophyta; Magnoliopsida; Brassicales; Caricaceae
Description: long non-coding RNA (CPAP_LNC005109)
Source: RNAcentral